RNAcentral lists this ribosomal RNA (1473 nucleotides) under metagenome. Its description in RNAcentral is "bacterial SSU rRNA". It matches the Rfam family "Bacterial small subunit ribosomal RNA". The record is from RNAcentral.
AGAGUUUGAUCAUGGCUCAGGACGAACGCUGGCGGCGCGCCUAACACAUGCAAGUCGAACGAGAGAGAGGGAGCUUGCUUCCUCGAUCGAGUGGCGAACGGGUGAGUAACGCGUGAGGAACCUGCCUCAAAGAGGGGGACAACAGUUGGAAACGACUGCUAAUACCGCAUAAGCCCACGGCUCGGCAUCGAGCAGAGGGAAAAGGAGCAAUCCGCUUUGAGAUGGCCUCGCGUCCGAUUAGCUAGUUGGUGAGGUAACGGCCCACCAAGGCAACGAUCGGUAGCCGGACUGAGAGGUUGAACGGCCACAUUGGGACUGAGACACGGCCCAGACUCCUACGGGAGGCAGCAGUGGGGAAUAUUGCACAAUGGGGGAAACCCUGAUGCAGCGACGCCGCGUGGAGGAAGAAGGUCUUCGGAUUGUAAACUCCUGUUGUUGAGGAAGAUAAUGACGGUACUCAACAAGGAAGUGACGGCUAACUACGUGCCAGCAGCCGCGGUAAAACGUAGGUCACAAGCGUUGUCCGGAAUUACUGGGUGUAAAGGGAGCGCAGGCGGGCGAUCAAGUUGGAAGUGAAAUCCAUGGGCUCAACCCAUGAACUGCUUUCAAAACUGAUUGUCUUGAGUAGUGCAGAGGUAGGCGGAAUUCCCGGUGUAGCGGUGGAAUGCGUAGAUAUCGGGAGGAACACCAGUGGCGAAGGCGGCCUACUGGGCACCAACUGACGCUGAGGCUCGAAAGUGUGGGUAGCAAACAGGAUUAGAUACCCUGGUAGUCCACACCGUAAACGAUGAUUACUAGGUGUUGGAGGAUUGACCCCUUCAGUGCCGCAGUUAACACAAUAAGUAAUCCACCUGGGGAGUACGACCGCAAGGUUGAAACUCAAAGGAAUUGACGGGGGCCCGCACAAGCAGUGGAGUAUGUGGUUUAAUUCGACGCAACGCGAAGAACCUUACCAAGUCUUGACAUCCUGCGACGGACAUAGAAAUAUGUUUUUCCUUCGGGACGCAGAGACAGGUGGUGCAUGGUUGUCGUCAGCUCGUGUCGUGAGAUGUUGGGUCAAGUCCCGCAACGAGCGCAACCCUUAUCCUCAGUAGCCAGCAGUAAGAUGGGAACUCUGGGGAGACUGCCAGGGAUAACCUGGAGGAAGGUGGGGAUGACGUCAAAUCAUCAUGCCCCUUAUGAUUUGGGCUACACACGUGCUACAAUGGCGUAAACAAAGGGAAGCGAGAGGGUGACCUGGAGCAAAUCCCAAAAAUAACGUCCCAGUUCGGACUGUAGUCUGCAACCCGACUACACGAAGCUGGAAUCGCUAGUAAUCGCAGAUCAGAAUGCUGCGGUGAAUACGUUCCCGGGUCUUGUACACACCGCCCGUCACACCAUGGGAGUCAGCAACGCCCAAAGUCAGUGACUCAACCGUAAGGAGAGAGCUGCCGAAGGCGGGGCAGGUAACUGGGGUGAAGUCGUAACAAGGUA